CGCCUUAAUAUGCUUUGCUUUAAUAAGGAAGGAUAUGGUACUCAUCAAACGACUUUCCAGGAUGGCUCAGGACAAGGAUACAGAGCAAAAGAAGGAUCUAAAAAGGCUUGGGAGUUCUUAGCAGAAAGCUAAGGAGGAGCUGCAGGCUUCCGUGUGGAUCUUUGGGAGCCCUGUAAGUGGCCAAAUGCAAUUAGAAAGAGAUUUAUCAGGAGAUUUUUAGAAGCAGCUGCAUGUGACUUUAGGAGACAUUAACAACACUAUCCAAGCUGCAGAGGGGAGCAACAGAGGG
This is a non-coding RNA of Sturnus vulgaris (Common starling), 289 nucleotides long. The record is from RefSeq and is a predicted model, not a curated record. NCBI's taxonomy places the organism in Eukaryota, Metazoa, Chordata, Aves, Passeriformes, Sturnidae.